ACUGUGCUGCUAUGUGUGACCAUGACUACCUCGAAUCUGUUUAGGUUUAUUAAUAAACACUGGGCAGGGAGAGAGAGGAGCCACGGCAGGCUGUUUCAACUCGAGAGAGAUAAAGGAUUUGCCAAAAUGGACCUCUAAGGAUUAGACCGAACACCUGGCAGCCAUAUCUUUUUUAAAUUUUAUUUUCUUGAGCCAUUGGAGUAAUCAGCUUUAUUUAAGUACAUGGCAGUAAGCUGGUACCAUACUGAAGGUAAACCUGCGUUGGACAGGGAAAUUAAAUCACUCGCUGUCUUGAUGUCUCAGUAGUUUCAAGAAAAGCUCAGUGGUCUGAUGGAGUCGCAGUUGGGAGCAUCUAUUAUGGCUGUCGAGAGGUGGAUGGGUGUUGGGGGUUUAUGGUGUGUGUGUAUGUUUAUGAUGAAAGAGACCAUGGCUCCAGGAUUCCACCCGCGCCUCCUCAUUAUCGAGAAGUCUUUAAAUAGCUCCCUGCACUUUUCCAGCCGCUUCCCACGGGAGGAUUGGUUUUCACCUAAACUUCUGACCCCAACAAUGGACCAGGUGGUCCCCCUCUGUAGUCUGAGGGCAGAGAGGAUGGGAUAGAUCUGUAGAAAACAUGAAAAGAUGUGGCAGACGUAAAGGAAAGGGAAAGGUUUACAGGAAUAAAGGAGGAGACGAUUGAGAUGAUGAAAUGUUGAAGAUGGUGAAAAUCAGAUUUCAGUGCAACCCAUAUCUUGAGCUGCAAUGACUACUUACUUUUUUAUUUUUAUUUUUUACCCCAAAACUAUGAUUUCAAGUUAUCUUCUAGAUAUUAUUUUGGGUAAUGACAGUUUGUCAUUCAUUUCCCUUUUUCCUAUGCCAUGCCUGUCAUUUUCACACUAUUUUUGAAUAUGUCUUUAUAUUUCUUUAUAUUUAUAUUACAUAAGAAAUAAUAUAAUAAAAUGACACCACUAGAUGGCUCCACAACUCCUCUCACAAGGGUAACAAAUGGAAAUGCUGAGUUCCUAACUCUGAAGAACCAGUUCUGUCUAGAAACAGCUUCAACCUCUCUACCCAGUGUUCCUGUGGGCUUUUCUUUUUAUGAAUGCAGCAUCAGUUUAGAAGUCAUGAUUGUCAUGAAAUGUAAAUACAAGACUAAAGCACUAACAGCAAUAGUUUUAUCUAGUUUUUAACAAGAUGAAAUAACAUGCAUUAUACAAAUUUACCUCAAUGCUCUGGAUAACUUCGCAGUAUUUUCUCUGUAUUUAUGUUUUGUUUUUUAAAGUUAUGUUAAUGGUUAAUUACUGCUUUACAAAGGAAUUGGGGCAUAGUAAGAGAAUGAUGGACCACUAUAAGCACUAAUAUAUGUGCUAGAAAAUGAAUCUAAGAUUAUUUUCUGCAAGUCCUACUUCUGAGAAUUUACAUGAGUUUUCUUUUUACCAAAUAUGCUUUUGUUUGCAGUUAACACCCUGUAAAAUACUGACUGUUAUUCUGAUUCAGUCUUUCCAAGAAAAGAUUGCGUCCCUUUUACUCAAGAAAAGAUGUAAUGUUUAUCUUAUUCACCCUUGUUGACCACUGUGACUCUGUGUUUUUGUAAGUCCAGGCUUUAGAAGAGAGACAGUAAUUUACAUGACGUUAUGUCCAGAGAUGAUCUGUUUCAACGGUUUAACAUUGUUGUGCUGAUCCACACCCACACAGCCACUUGGAUCCAGAGAGACUCUUUCUCACUUCUCUGCCAUAAAAAUCUCUCUCACAUC
Seriola aureovittata is the source of this 1730-nucleotide long non-coding RNA. RefSeq lists it as uncharacterized. The record is from RefSeq and is a predicted model, not a curated record. The transcript has 2 exons. NCBI's taxonomy places the organism in Eukaryota, Metazoa, Chordata, Actinopteri, Carangiformes, Carangidae.